Molecule: ribosomal RNA, 773 nt
Filed under: uncultured bacterium
Lineage: Bacteria
Description: bacterial SSU rRNA
Rfam family: Bacterial small subunit ribosomal RNA
Source: RNAcentral
AGAGUUUGAUCAUGGCUCAGGACGAACGCUGGCGGCGUGCUUAACACAUGCAAGUCGAACGGAAAGGCCCUUCGGGGUACUCGAGUGGCGAACGGGUGAGUAACACGUGGGUGAUCUGCCCUGCACUUUGGGAUAAGCCUGGGAAACUGGGUCUAAUACCGAAUAUGACCACGCUCUUCAUGGGGUGUGGUGGAAAGCUUUUGCGGUGUGGGAUGGGCCCGCGGCCUAUCAGCUUGUUGGUGGGGUAAUGGCCUACCAAGGCGACGACGGGUAGCCGGCCUGAGAGGGUGACCGGCCACACUGGGACUGAGAUACGGCCCAGACUCCUACGGGAGGCAGCAGUGGGGAAUAUUGCACAAUGGGCGCAAGCCUGAUGCAGCGACGCCGCGUGAGGGAUGACGGCCUUCGGGUUGUAAACCUCUUUCACCAGGGACGAAGCGCAAGUGACGGUACCUGGAGAAGAAGCACCGGCCAACUACGUGCCAGUAGCCGCGGUAAUACGUAGGGUGCGAGCGUUGUCCGGAAUUACUGGGCGUAAAGAGCUCGUAGGUGGUUUGUCGCGUUGUUCGUGAAAACUCACAGCUUAACUGUGGGCGUGCGGGCGAUACGGGCAGACUAGAGUACUGCAGGGGAGACUGGAAUUCCUGGUGUAGCGGUGGAAUGCGCAGAUAUCAGGAGGAACACCGGUGGCGAAGGCGGGUCUCUGGGCAGUAACUGACGCUGAGGAGCGAAAGCGUGGGGAGCGAACAGGAUUAGAUACCCUGGUAGUCCAA